This 323-nucleotide microRNA precursor is filed under the name Dioscorea bulbifera (air-potato). RNAcentral describes it as "partial MIR444 transcript variant 1c_1". Lineage: Eukaryota; Viridiplantae; Streptophyta; Magnoliopsida; Dioscoreales; Dioscoreaceae. The record is from RNAcentral.
AUCAACGGAAAGCUUUUGGCUAGGGUUUGGUUAGGGUUUGGACUUCCCGCUUUCUUGUUCUUUUGAUGGGGUUUAGAACCCUUUUUCUUCUGUUUUUCUUGGAGAUAAUGAGGUUCUUUUUUGAUGGAAGACUGAUAAGCAGCUGAGGGUUUUCAGGUGAAAAGCUGAGGCUGGAGAAAGAGCAAGAGUUCUUGUGAUCUAUGUGAUAUAUAUGUAUAUAUAUAGUUCUUGUCUGCUGUCUUGUUGUAAUUUAUAGUGAAAGUUCUGUUGUAAUCUAUUGUAAAGAAAAUCAAGUGUAGAUUGACUUUGAAUAUUCUUGCAAG